AUGAUAGGACACAGCUGGAUAACCAGAAAGAGGAGCACGGAGGCCAUGGUAAUGCAGAGCAGCAGGUGGAGGGGGCCGAGAGGGGUGCUAGGCCGACCAUCAGGGAGUUCAAAAAGACCUGGAGCUUCAGGCGGACCGCGGUUGCCAGAAGAGAGCUUGUGCGAUUGGAUGAGAUUGAAGAUCCAGAAUCUCCGGCCCUACCCACACGUCAGGGUAGAGGCCGCCCAGCCCAGACCUAUUCAAGACGCGGGCGAGGGGGGAGAAGGAGCUCCCCGGCUGACCUGGAGCACACCGAGACAGGCUCCCCUACUCCAAUGGACACAGAGCCUGCCUCAGAGGCCCUAGAGCCCUGCUCAGGUGGCAGAUUAGACCCCUGCCCAGGUGGCAGAUUAGACCCCUCCUCUUGGCGGGACUUUGGAUCUGCAUUCCGCACGGCUUUUCCCUACUUUGGGAGAAGAAAGAGGAGGACAGGACCACGGCUGCCCCUGCCCAAAUUAUGGCUGCUCUUCCUAGCUAUGGGGGUAGUGGGGACAUGUAAGCUGCCUCCAGUAUAGAGGAGGACAGUGAUGAGCUGACCCUGAAGCAGCUUCAGGAGCGGCUGAGCAGUAGGGGGGGAGGUGAGGCCAGAGGCAGAGGGGUCAGAGGGAGAGGCAGGGUGAGGGGAAGGGGUAGAGGGAGAGGACGAGGGAGAGGUAAGGGGCGUGGGAGGGGUAGGAGGGUAGAGCCAGAGUCGAGCACUGCAGAUGAAGAAGCAGUGAUUUUUGUAAAUGAGUUGGAACAGCAGCAGGUGUAUCAGCCUCAGGAGGAGGAGAGGGAGCAGAGUCCUGAGGAGGCUGUUGUAGUGGUUGAACCGCAAAGCCUUUCUCCUUCUCAACAGUCCAGCUCCGAGUCUAUGCCUCUUGAAUCUGAUCCAGAGCCAGCGACAACAGAAGAAAAGCCCAGACAAUAAUGAUAAUGUAACAGAGGUGGAGAAGGAUGAGGUGGAGGAGGAGGAGAAGGACGAGGUGGAGGAGGAGGAGAAAGACGAGGAGAAGGACGAGGUGGAGGAGAGGAUUGAGGAAGAAAAGUCAGAGUAUUCUAGCAUAUCAGACAGUGAGGGCUACAAACCCCAUGCCCUUUACUGCAUCUGUCGACAGAGGCAGAAUAAAAGGUAUGUGUGUAGCGUUGUCUAGGACGAUAUUCACCUCUGAAAACAAGCAAGCCUAAUGUUGUUGGUAUAGCAGCACCACAUCUCAGCUCUUUCCCAUCUGCCAUACUCAUUAUUUGGGAUGGUUAUGGACUUUAGUUAAUUGCUGUUCUUUAGCUGUAAUUUUCUAGUGCCUACACUUUUUUUUUUCUUCCCUUUUUGGCAUUUUUUUCUUUCUUCUGCAUGUUGUGCUUGUUUCAUUUUGCAUGUUGUGCUUGUGUCAUUUUGCAUGUUGUGCUUGUUUAAU
RNAcentral lists this long non-coding RNA (1433 nucleotides) under Oncorhynchus mykiss (rainbow trout). RNAcentral describes it as "lncRNA (ENSOMYG00000026589.2)". The record is from RNAcentral. Lineage: Eukaryota; Metazoa; Chordata; Actinopteri; Salmoniformes; Salmonidae.